GUCCACGCUGUAAACGAUGAUCACUAGACGUCAGUUCGGCUCUGCUGAAUUGGUGUCGUAGCUAACGCGUUAAGUGAUCCGCCUGGGGAGUACGGUCGCAAGACUAAAACUUAAAGAAAUUGACGGGGGUCCGCACAAGCGGUGGAACAUGUGGUUUAAUUCGACACUACGCGAGGAACCUUACCUGGGCUUGACAUGUUUUUGACAGUCGUAGAAAUACGAUCUUCCGAGUUUACUCGGACAAAUUCACAGGUGUUGCAUGGCUGUCGU
Molecule: ribosomal RNA, 270 nt
Filed under: uncultured bacterium
Lineage: Bacteria
Description: partial 16S ribosomal RNA
Rfam family: Bacterial small subunit ribosomal RNA
Source: RNAcentral